GAAUCCACUAGUGAUUUCUGGUUGAUCCCGGCGGAGGCUGCCGCGCCACAAACUAUAUAGGUUUUAUAAGAAGAGCUCUCGAAAAGGCCGGAAUGAGCCAGGUGCCGGUAAUAUCCUUAAACCUCGCGGGACUCGAAGGGAAUCCCGGCUUUAAGAUCACAAAGGACCAACGAGCGAGACCCAA
RNAcentral lists this ribosomal RNA (184 nucleotides) under uncultured rumen archaeon. Its description in RNAcentral is "partial 16S ribosomal RNA". The record is from RNAcentral.